AUGCUUCAUAUGUGUAUGAGAAUCACGAGAUGUCUUGAGUUGUUUUUGGUAAAGGAUGCUCGGUGCAUAGAGCAAGAAGUUACUUUGGUUGUAUUUGGAUGAGGUUGUAUUCUGCAGUGUCUGAAGUGCUAAGGAGGCACAAGUUGUUCAGUUAUUGAUUGGGCUAAUUGCGGUUUGAGUAGAGUGAAUGACUCUCGAUAAUG
RNAcentral lists this long non-coding RNA (203 nucleotides) under Nicotiana benthamiana. Its description in RNAcentral is "long non-coding RNA (NBEN_LNC029971)". The record is from RNAcentral. Lineage: Eukaryota; Viridiplantae; Streptophyta; Magnoliopsida; Solanales; Solanaceae.